AAGUCGUAACAAGGUCUCCGUUGGUGAACCAGCGGAGGGAUCAUUGCUGGAAGCGCCGCAAGGCGCACCCAGAAACCCUUUGGUGAACUCAUACCUACAUCGUUGCCUCGGCGCUGGCUGCCCCUCCCUCCGGGGAGGGGCCCUGCCCUCCGGUCGUAAAACACCUGGGGGAAAAGGACAGCAGGCCCGCCGGUGGCCCAACAAACUCUUGUUUUUACCGAGUAACAUCUGAGUAAAGCUUCUAAAUAAAUUAAAA
Molecule: unclassified non-coding RNA, 256 nt
Filed under: plant metagenome
Description: partial contains small subunit ribosomal RNA and internal transcribed spacer 1
Rfam family: Eukaryotic small subunit ribosomal RNA (bases 1-46)
Source: RNAcentral